AACUUAAGGACGAGCCCACCUAAACGUUAAGCAUUCUAAAAAUAGAAUCAUUAGCACAAACCAACAAUACCAACAACCACAUGAUCAAGUGAAUUGCAGCGGAAUAGCUGCGCUUGAUUGUGUUGGCAUAACAAAAAUGAAAAUAGUGGAAAAAAGCAAACGAUAAUUUACAAGGCGUACUUAGCACGGUGCAUAGGCAACUGGCUGAGUCAGUGGGAUCGUCGGUUCGAAUCCUACUGAAAGAAGUCUGAUGAGGAAAUGUGGUGAUUUCCGAAAUAGCUAUCACUUCUACCAUUUUUUCAAAUUAUUGUUGCUUUUCCACAAUAAAUUUUCAUUUAAAAAAUGGCCUCGAGCUCAUUAUAAAAUUGUUGAAUAUAAUUGUUAAAAGGCCAAAAAA
This is a long non-coding RNA of Rhagoletis zephyria (snowberry fruit fly), 397 nucleotides long. RefSeq lists it as uncharacterized. The record is from RefSeq and is a predicted model, not a curated record. Lineage: Eukaryota; Metazoa; Arthropoda; Insecta; Diptera; Tephritidae.